Molecule: ribosomal RNA, 830 nt
Filed under: uncultured bacterium
Lineage: Bacteria
Description: bacterial SSU rRNA
Rfam family: Bacterial small subunit ribosomal RNA
Source: RNAcentral
AACGCUAGCGGCGUGCCUAACACAUGCAAGUCUUACGAGAAAGUCCCGUUCGGGGGAUGAGUAAAGUGGCGCACGGGUGAGUAACACGUGGAUAAUCUACCCUUUAGUCGGGAAUAACUCAUCGAAAGAUGGGAUAAUACGCGAUAAUGUUUAUCUGUUACGACGGAUAAGCCAAAGGUGGCCUCUCUAUAGAAGCUACCGCUGAGGGAUGAGUUCGCGCACCAUUAGCUUGUUGGUGGGGUAAUGGCCUACCAAGGCUUCGAUGGUUAGCUGGUCUUAGAGGACGACCAGCCACACUGGAACUGGAACACGGUCCAGACUCCUACGGGAGGCAGCAGUGAGGAAUUUUGCGCAAUGGGGGAAACCCUGACGCAGCAACGCCGCGUGAGUGAGGAAGGUCUUCGGGUCGUAAAGCUCUGUCAGGCGGAAAGAAAUGUUCGCAGGCUAAUAUCCUGCGGAUUUGACGGUACCGCCAAAGGAAGCACCGGCAAACUCCGUGCCAGCAGCCGCGGUAAUACGGGGGGUGCAAGCGUUGUUCGGAAUUAUUGGGCGUAAAGAGCGUGUAGGCGGCCAGGUAAGUCAGAUGUGAAAGUCCCGGGCUCAACUCGGGAAGUGCAUUUGAAACUGCUUGGCUUGAGUAGGAGAGAGGAAAGUGGAAUUCCUGGUGUAGAGGUGAAAUUCGUAGAUAUCAGGAGGAACACCGGUGGCGAAGGCGGCUUUCUGGCUCUAUACUGACGCUGAGACGCGAAAGCGUGGGUAGCAAACAGGAUUAGAUACCCUGGUAGUCCACGCUGUAAACGAUGUUCACUAGGUGUUGGGGGUAUUGACCC